AGUGAACGCUGGCGGUAGGCCUAACACAUGCCAGUCGAACGGCAGCACAGUAAGGGCUUGCUCUUACGGGUGGCGAGUGGCGGACGGGUGAGGAAUACAUCGGAAUCUACUUUUUCGUGGGGGAUAACGUAGGGAAACUUACGCUAAUACCGCAUACGACCUACGGGUGAAAGCAGGGGAUCUUCGGACCUUGCGCGAUUGAAUGAGCCGAUGUCGGAUUAGCUAGUUGGCGGGGUAAAGGCCCACCAAGGCGACGAUCCGUAGCUGGUCUGAGGGGAUGAUCAGCCACACUGGAACUGAGACACGGUCCAGACUCCUACGGGAGGCAGCAGUGGGGAAUAUUGGACAAUGGGCGCAAGCCUGAUCCAGCCAUACCGCGUGGGUGAAGAAGGCCUUCGGGUUGUAAAGCCCUUUUGUUGGGAAAGAAGAGCAGCAGGUUAAUACCCCGCUGUUCUGACGGUACCCAAAGAAUAAGCACCGACUAACUUCGUG
RNAcentral lists this ribosomal RNA (492 nucleotides) under uncultured bacterium. RNAcentral describes it as "partial 16S ribosomal RNA". It matches the Rfam family "Bacterial small subunit ribosomal RNA", at positions 29 to 507 of the family's 1533-position model. The record is from RNAcentral.